GUGGUGGCUCAUGCCUGUAAUCCCAGCACUUUGGGAAUUCAAGACAGGCAGAUCACGAGGUCAGGAGGUCAAGACCAUCCUGGCUGACACUGUGAAACCCCAACACUAUUAAAACCGUAAAAAAGGGCCAGGCGCGGUGGCUCACGCCUGUAAUCCCAGCACUUUGGGAGGCCGAGGCGUGUGGAUCACGAGGUCAGGCGAUUGAGACCAAUUCGGCCAACAUGGGGAAACCCCAUCUCUACUAAAAA
Molecule: long non-coding RNA, 248 nt
Organism: Sapajus apella (tufted capuchin)
Lineage: Eukaryota; Metazoa; Chordata; Mammalia; Primates; Cebidae
Exons: 2
Source: RefSeq, a predicted model, not a curated record